CGGGGUGUGGCGCAGUCUGGUAGCGCGCCUGGUUUGGGACCAGGAGGUCGCGGGUUCGAAUCCCGCCGCCCCGA
This 74-nucleotide transfer RNA is filed under the name Gemmatimonadota bacterium. RNAcentral describes it as "Gemmatimonadetes bacterium tRNA-Pro". It matches the Rfam family "tRNA". Rfam says of the family: Transfer RNA (tRNA) molecules are approximately 80 nucleotides in length. Their secondary structure includes four short double-helical elements and three loops (D, anti-codon, and T loops). Further hydrogen bonds mediate the characteristic L-shaped molecular structure. tRNAs have two regions of fundamental functional importance: the anti-codon, which is responsible for specific mRNA codon recognition, and the 3' end, to which the tRNAs corresponding amino acid is attached (by aminoacyl-tRNA synthetases). tRNAs cope with the degeneracy of the genetic code in two manners: having more than one tRNA (with a specific anti-codon) for a particular amino acid; and 'wobble' base-pairing, i.e. permitting non-standard base-pairing at the 3rd anti-codon position. RNAcentral also lists the same sequence under 1 other name. The record is from RNAcentral. Lineage: Bacteria; Pseudomonadati; Gemmatimonadota.